UUCCGGUUGAUCCUGCCGGACCUCACUGCUGUCGAGGUGGGACUAAGCCAUGCUAGUCGUACGCCCAGAACCAUGUCUGGGAGUGGCGCACUGCUCAGUAACACGUAGCUAACCUGCCCUUAGGACGGGUACAACCCCGAGAAAUUGGGGCUAAUACCCGAUAGGUGUGAUGUCCUGGAAUGGUAUCACGCCCAAAGGUCCCAACAGCAUGUUGUUGUUACGCCUAAGGAUGGGGCUGCGGCCGAUCAGGCAGUUGGUGAGGUAACGGCUCACCAAACCUUUGACCGGUACGGGCCAUGAGAGUGGUAGCCCGGAGAUGGAUACUGAGACAAGGAUCCAGGCCCUACGGGGCGCAGCAGGCGCGAAACCUCCUCAAUGCACUCACGUGCGAAGGGGUUACCUCGAGUGCCAUCUGAAGAAGGUGGCUUUUCCUUGGUCUAAAUAGCCUUGGGAAUAAGAGGGGGGCAAGACUGGUGUCAGCCGCCGCGGUAACACCAGCCCCUCGAGUGGUGGGGAUGAUUAUUUGGCCUAAAGCGUCCGUAGCCGGCCGAGUAAGUUUCCCGUUAAAUCCAGCGUCUCAAGCGUUGGACUGCGGGAAAUACUGCCCGGCUAGAGAGUGGGAGAGGUAAGCGGUAUUCUGGGGGUAGGGGCGAAAUCCUUUGAUCCCCGGAGGACCACCAGUGGCGAAGGCUGCUUACUAGAACACGUCUGACGGUCAGGGACGAAAGCUGGGGUAGCGAACCGGAUUAGAUACCCGGGUAGUCCCAGCUGUAAACGAUGCACACUAGGUGUUGGGUCGGCCACGCGCCGCCCCAGUGCCGCAGGGAAGCCGUUAAGCGUGCCGCCUGGGGAGUACGGCCGCAAGGCUGAAACUUAAAGGAAUUGGCGGGGGAGCACCACCAGGCGUGAAGCCUGCGGUUUAAUUGGAUUCAACGCCGGAA
RNAcentral lists this ribosomal RNA (941 nucleotides) under uncultured archaeon. Its description in RNAcentral is "bacterial SSU rRNA". It matches the Rfam family "Archaeal small subunit ribosomal RNA", at positions 1 to 923 of the family's 1478-position model. The record is from RNAcentral.